This 449-nucleotide ribosomal RNA is filed under the name uncultured bacterium. RNAcentral describes it as "partial 16S ribosomal RNA". It matches the Rfam family "Bacterial small subunit ribosomal RNA", at positions 29 to 523 of the family's 1533-position model. The record is from RNAcentral.
AACGAACGCUGGCGGCAGGCCUAACACAUGCAAGUCGAACGCUGUAGCAAUACAGAGUGGCGCACGGGUGAGUAACGCGUAGGAAUCUACCCAUUAGCCUGGGAUAACAGCGGGAAACUGCUGCUAAUACCGGAUACGCCCUUCGGGGGAAAGAUUUACUACUAAUGGAUGAGCCUGCGUUAGAUUAGCUAGUUGGUGAGGUAAUGGCUCACCAAGGCUCCGAUCUAUAGCCGGUCUAAGACAACGAUCGGCCACACUGGGACUGAGACACGACCCAGACUCCUACGGGAGGAAGCAGUGGGGAAUAUUGGGCAAUGGACGCAAGUCUGACCCAGCCAUGCCGCGUGUGUGAUGAAGGCCUUAGGGUUGUAAAGCACUUUUAGUAGUGAAGAUGAUGACAGUAGCUACAGAAAAAGCCCCGGCUAACUUCGUGCCAGCCGCCGCCGUAA